Molecule: ribosomal RNA, 292 nt
Filed under: uncultured bacterium
Lineage: Bacteria
Description: partial 16S ribosomal RNA
Rfam family: Bacterial small subunit ribosomal RNA
Source: RNAcentral
GUGUCAGCAGCCGCGGUAAUACAGAGAUGGCAAGCGUUGUUCGGAAUCACUGGGCAUAAAGGGCACGUAGGCGGGUUGGUAAGUCAGGUGUGAAAUCCCUCGGCUCAACCGAGGAACUGCGCCUGAAACUGUCGAUCUUGAGGGCAGGAGGGGAGAGUGGAACUCUUGGUGGAGCGGUGAAAUGCGUAGAUACCAAGAGGAACGCCGGUGGCGAAAGCGACUCUCUGGUCUGCUACUGACGCUGAGGUGCGAAAGCUAGGGGAGCAAACAGGAUUAGAAACCCUGGUAGUCC